GAUGAACGCUGGCGGCGUGCCUAAUACAUGCAAGUCGAACGCAUAUCUUCGGAUAUGAGUGGCGAACGGGUGAGUAAUACACAAGUAACCUGGCCUUAAGAGGGGGAUAACUAUUAGAAAUGAUAGCUAAGACCGCAUAGGUAUGAAGAUCGCAUGAUCGACAUAUUAAAUAUCCCAAGGGAUAGCUGAAGGAUGGACUUAUGGCACAUUAGCUAGUUGGUAGGGUAACGGCCUACCAAGGCGACGAUGCGUAGCCGACCUGAGAGGGUGGACGGCCACACUGGGACCGAGACACGGCCCAGACUCCUACGGGAGGCAGCAGUAGGGAAUUUUCGGCAAUGGGGGGAACCCUGACCGAGCAACGCCGCGUGAGGGAGGAAGUAUUUCGGUAUGUAAACCUCUGUUAUAAAGGAAGAACGGUGCAUGUAGGGAAUGACAUGCAAGUGACGGUACUUUAUGAGGAAGCCACGGCUAACUACGUGCCAGCAGCCGCGGUAAUACGUAGGUGGCGAGCGUUAUCCGGAAUUAUUGGGCGUAAAGAGGGAGCAGGCGGCAGCUAAGGUCUGCGGUGAAAGCCCGAAGCUAAACUUCGGUAAGCCGUGGAAACCGAGCAGCUAGAGUGCAGUAGAGGAUCGUGGAAUUCCAUGUGUAGCGGUGAAAUGCGUAGAUAUAUGGAGGAACACCAGUGGCGAAGGCGACGAUCUGGGCUGCAACUGACGCUCAGUCCCGAAAGCGUGGGGAGCAAAUAGGAUUAGAUACCCUAGUAGUCCACGCCGUAAACGAUGAGUACUAAGUGUUGGGGGUCAAACCUCAGUGCUGCAGUUAACGCAAUAAGUACUCCGCCUGAGUAGUACGUUCGCAAGAAUGAAACUCAAAGGAAUUGACGGGGGCCCGCACAAGCGGUGGAGCAUGUGGUUUAAUUCGAAGCAACGCGAAGAACCUUACCAGGUCUUGACAUCGAUCUAAAGGAUCCAGAGAUGGAUAGAUAGUUAUAGAGAGGACAGGUGGUGCAUGGUUGUCGUCAGCUCGUGUCGUGAGAUGUUGGGUUAAGUCCCGCAACGAGCGCAACCCUUGUCGUUAGUUACCAGCAGUAAGAUGGGGACUCUAGCGAGACUGCCUCUGCAAGGAGGAGGAAGGCGGGGAUGACGUCAAAUCAUCAUGCCCCUUAUGACCUGGGCUACACACGUGCUACAAUGGACGGAUCAAAGGGAAGCGAAGCCGCGAGGUGAAGCGAAACUCAAAAACCCGUUCUCAGUUCGGACUGCAGUCUGCAACUCGACUGCACGAAGUUGGAAUCGCUAGUAAUCGCGAAUCAGAAUGUCGCGGUGAAUACGUUCUCGGGCCU
RNAcentral lists this ribosomal RNA (1345 nucleotides) under uncultured bacterium. Its description in RNAcentral is "16S ribosomal RNA". It matches the Rfam family "Bacterial small subunit ribosomal RNA", at positions 28 to 1381 of the family's 1533-position model. The record is from RNAcentral.